UAAUGCCUGGGGAUCUGCCCGAUAGAGGGGGAUAACUACGGGAAACUGUAGCUAAUACCGCAUAAUGUCUACGGACCAAAGUGGGGGCUCUUCGGACCUCAUGCUAUCGGAUGAACCCAGGUGGGAUUAGCUAGUUGGUGAGGUAAUGGCUCACCAAGGCGACGAUCUCUAACUGGUUUGAGAGAAUGACCAGUCACACUGGAACUGAGACACGGUCCAGACUCCUACGGGAGGCAGCAGUGGGGAAUAUUGCACAAUGGGCGCAAGCCUGAUGCAGCCAUGCCGCGUGUGUGAAGAAGGCCUUCGGGUUGUAAAGCACUUUCAGCGGGGAGGAAGGGCCACUAGUUAAUACCUAGUGGCAUUGACGUUACUCGCAGAAGAAGCACCGGCUAACUCCGUGCCAGCAGCCGCGGUAAUACGGAGGGUGCAAGCGUUAAUCGGAAUUACUGGGCGUAAAGCGCACGCAGGCGGUUUGUUAAGUCAGAUGUGAAAUCCCCGAGCUCAACUUGGGAACUGCAUUUGAAACUGGCAAGCUAGAGUCUUGUA
Molecule: ribosomal RNA, 546 nt
Filed under: uncultured bacterium
Lineage: Bacteria
Description: bacterial SSU rRNA
Rfam family: Bacterial small subunit ribosomal RNA
Source: RNAcentral